This 454-nucleotide ribosomal RNA is filed under the name uncultured Sphingobacteriales bacterium. Its description in RNAcentral is "bacterial SSU rRNA". It matches the Rfam family "Bacterial small subunit ribosomal RNA", at positions 925 to 1382 of the family's 1533-position model. Lineage: Bacteria; Pseudomonadati; Bacteroidota; Sphingobacteriia; Sphingobacteriales. The record is from RNAcentral.
ACAAGCGGAGGAGCAUGUGGUUUAAUCGAUGAUACGCGAGGAACCUUACCUGGGCUCGAACGUAAGAUGACUGUAGGUGAAAGCUUACAUCUCUUCGGAGCAUUUUACGAGGUGCUGCAUGGUUGUCGUCAGCUCGUGCCGUGAGGUGUCGGGUUAAGUCCCAUAACGAGCGCAACCCCUACCUUUAGUUGCCAUCAGGUAAUGCUGGGGACUCUAAAGGAACUGCCUACGCAAGUAGUGAGGAAGCGGGAUGACGUCAAAUCAGCACGGCCCUUACGUCCAGGGCUACACACGUGCUACAAUGGCCGAUACAGAGGGCAGCUACCUGGUGACAGGAUGCAAAUCUCCAAAGUCGGUCUCAGUUCGGAUCGGAGUCUGCAACCCGACUCCGUGAAGUUGGAUUCGCUAGUAAUCGCGCAUCAGCCAUGGCGCGGUGAAUACGUUCCCGGGCCUU